This is a long non-coding RNA of Oncorhynchus tshawytscha (Chinook salmon), 329 nucleotides long. NCBI's taxonomy places the organism in Eukaryota, Metazoa, Chordata, Actinopteri, Salmoniformes, Salmonidae. The record is from Ensembl.
GCCAAGCCCGCCAACCACCCAGACCACUGUGGAGCUGUAGAGAUGUAGAGAUCUACACAGAAGUACCCAACAGGACGAAGAGCUGAUCGCGAGACGCACAGCGAAGCAGCCAUACUGGGCUUUCCUGAGAGACCAAUGGAUUUUUCUCUUUCAAAAUAUAUAUAACUCCCAUUGGUUCAUUUGAUUUUGAAGAGGACCGGAUUGGUCAGAUGACUUCCAUUUACGCGGCAUACCGACUCCCUGUUGGGAGUUGGCUGGAGAUGAGGGGACCCUGAAGCCCAGAGGGAUGGACAGAGUGGUGGAGAGAGAGCGGGUGAGAGAGCAGCCUG